This 466-nucleotide ribosomal RNA is filed under the name uncultured bacterium. RNAcentral describes it as "partial 16S ribosomal RNA". It matches the Rfam family "Bacterial small subunit ribosomal RNA", at positions 29 to 507 of the family's 1533-position model. The record is from RNAcentral.
AUGAACGCUGACAGAAUGCUUAACACAUGCAAGUCAACUUGAAUUUGGGUUUUUAACUUAGGUUUGGGUGGCGGACGGGUGAGUAACGCGUAAAGAACUUGCCUCACAGCUAGGGACAACAUUUGGAAACGAAUGCUAAUACCUAAUAUUAUGAUAAUAGGGCAUCCUAUAAUUAUGAAAGCUAUAAGCGCUGUGAGAGAGCUUUGCGUCCCAUUAGCUAGUUGGAGAGGUAACGGCUCACCAAGGCGAUGAUGGGUAGCCGGCCUGAGAGGGUGAUCGGCCACAAGGGGACUGAGACACGGCCCUUACUCCUACGGGAGGCAGCAGUGGGGAAUAUUGGACAAUGGACCAAGAGUCUGAUCCAGCAAUUCUGUGUGCACGAUGAAGUUUUUUGGAAUGUAAAGUGCUUUCAGUUGGGAAGAAAGAAAUGACGGUACCAACAGAAGAAGUGACGGCUAAAUACGUG